UUAGAAGCUGCGAAAUGGUUGUUGUGAGGAGCUGCAUGGAGUUUGAACCAGAAUGGUUACAACUACUAGAGGACAUCCAUGGGAAACCGUUUAUACCAGUUGGUAUGCUUCCCACCACAGAAUAUGAUAACGAUGAGCAAAUAGACACGUGGAGGUCAAUCAAACAGUGGCUAGACAAACAGGAGAAAAGAUCUGUAGUGUAUAUAGCAUUUGGUAGUGAGGCGAAACCGAGCCAAGAAGAGCUUACUGAGAUUGCUCUUGGGUUAGAGUUAUCUGGGUUGCCAUUCUUUUGGGUGUUGAGAAUGCGUCGUGGCUUAGCUGAUACUGAGGUUCUGGAAUUACCAGAUGGGUUUGAGGAGCGAACCAAAGGACGUGGUGUGGUGUGCAUUAGUUGGGCUCCUCAGCUCAAGAUCUUAGCUCAUGACUCAGUUGGUGGUUUCUUGACUCACUCUGGGUG
This 457-nucleotide unclassified non-coding RNA is filed under the name Hevea brasiliensis (rubber tree). Lineage: Eukaryota; Viridiplantae; Streptophyta; Magnoliopsida; Malpighiales; Euphorbiaceae. The record is from RNAcentral.